AGCAUUUGAGUUUGCGACAUUUUAAAUUCUAUUUAUAUUAACAGGUGGUGGUAUGAGUUCUGACCCUGGUGCAUGAGAGUAUCUUGGUGUCUUGACCUGGCUGAAGGUGGCUGCCUCCUCCUCUUAUCCUUAUGGUAGCUGGUACUCCUGGUGAGAGUUGGAUCAGAGAUCUCCCUUGGUGGUGUUUGUGGCUACCCGCCAGUGCAGUGGGGCUGAGGCGAUCCAGGAGGCAGCCGCCCUCAUGCAGUGUUGGAGUGCGGUCCAACUGUCCGAGUCUAUUUUAACUUUCUCUUUUAUGGAAUUUGUGUCAAGUUUUUAAUAAAUUGUAUAUCUUUAACCUUUA
Molecule: long non-coding RNA, 343 nt
Organism: Oryzias latipes (Japanese medaka)
Lineage: Eukaryota; Metazoa; Chordata; Actinopteri; Beloniformes; Adrianichthyidae
Source: RefSeq, a predicted model, not a curated record